GCAGCAUGUGGGAUCUUCCUGGACCAGGGCUUGAACCUGUGUCCCCUGCAUCGGCAGACGGAUUCUUAACCACUGCGCCACCAGGGAAGCCCCUGACACCUGGAUUAUUAAAGAACUUGGGAACAUCCAGACAUCAUUUCUAAUAGUAAAAAGAAUAAAAGUAGAAGAGAACAGCAUCUGUGUCUGACAGUAGGGGUUUGGCUAAAUGCAUAAUGGUAAGUCCAUCCAAUGCAAGGCGAACGCAGCCUUCAAAAUAACCCUGGAGAAAACUGUUUCGUGGCCUGGUAAAGAGUCACCAUAGUUUGUUAAAUGAAAAGAAGCAUGGGGAAUUCCCUGGCAGUCCAGCAGUGGUUAGGACCCCGCGCUUUCACCGCUAAGGGAACUGGUCGGGGAACUAAGAAGCAUGGAACAAACUAUGUACAGUACAGGCUCGUUAAAACACAUACACACGUAGAGAAAAAAGUCUGAAGGAUAUAUGUGAAAAUAUUCAUGGAAUUAUCUCUGGGUGGUAGUAGAAUUAAAGGUAUUUUUAUUUUCCUUCCUUUGCUCAUCUGCAUUUUCUAAAGUUCUUACAGGAAAUGUAUUAUUUUAUACUAAGGAAUAGUAAGGUGACUACACAAGACAAGUAGACUGAAGGAGUGCCUUUAUCUGGGCUGGACCCGUCUCUGGGGACGCCAUUUCUUCUCCCUCAGCCAGAGUCCCUCUUCUUCAAAGCCAGCUGGGAUGAUUUCUCCUCCUGCAAGAUGCUCGUGACAACUCCAGCCCACCACAGAUUCACUCAAAAUAUCCUUCUAGAAGAUGUGGUAUAUAUAUACAAUGGAAUAUUACUCAGCUAUAAAAAUGAAUGAAAUAAUGCCAUUUGCAGCAACACGGAUGGAUCUAGACAUCAUCAUACUAAGUGAAGUCUUCAGCUGUUACCUUGUGGGAGAAUUGGUGGGACCUGGGAGACCCUCCCCAGUAGAGAUCUACUGGAAUGAGUUUGGGUUGCAAGGCUGCCACAUAGGAUUUUCUGUAUCCUUCCAUGGACCAUUGUUGCAAUAGGGUGAGCUGCCAGGUGGUAGGUACACCUCUGGCUUCGUUGUAGCACCCUUCUCAUGUCCUCAGCUUGAUGGAUUCCAACUGCAAGUACCUGCAGCUCCCUGGGAGGGAGUGGCUCUCUACACAGGACUGAUGGGAGUUGGUGGAUAAGCCUCCCAGCUCCUGUCCCUGGCAGGGGAACAAAUCUGGAGGGUCCAACACUGAACUCCCAAAGCUCCCUAGGAGGACUGAACCCUAGUUGCCCAGAGCCAUGACCUGUUUGAUUAUGCAUCUGGACUGGCUACCUCCCCUCCCUCUCUUCCCACUCCCUUAUUGAUGCUUUCUGGAAUCGCCACACUGCUUUAUACCCCCCAAUCUUCGCCUCUGGGUCUGCUGCUGGGCACCCAACCCAAGACCCUGUAGUCUUAACGGCGAGAAGAGUGGUGAGGAAACUUUGAGAAAUGAGAGCACACGCUUUUCCAUUCAAUUUUGCCCUUUUCUCUAAAAAUAGAGCUCUUUAUUUAAAACAGUUUAGGGUAGGCCCCAACAAACAUUAGGAAAUUAUCUAAAUAUGACAUAAACAUAAAAUAAAAUUAGAAAUAACUACAAAUAUCUUAGAACAAUAUAUAAUCUCCUCACUACCCUAAAGAAUGGGAAUGUUGCUUUCACCCGGGCAUCACCCGCUCUGCCCCUGACAUCUUUCAUGCGUGGCCCUGGAGUUCCCACUAUGCAGUUCCUGCCUGCUGGGGACACGAAAGGGCUUUGUAAACAGUUCAGUGCUGAGCACACCUGACAAAUGAUAAUAUUGAAUAGCAUGCUCUUUCCUAAAGCUGCCCAGUUUUUUGUUUAUGACUUAAUGACCAUAAAGGAGCUGGAGUUUAGAAUUAAUAGAAAGCUCAGCGUCUGUCAGAAAUUAAACUUUAAAAAAAUGCUUAAAAAACACACAAGCUUUCAGAACAGAGAAAGCGGUUUCUUCACACAAGCCUAAGACAAUAGUGAGGAUAGCUUUUAGUUAUUUGGAAUUUACUUCCAUGAAGCAGCUCGGCUGGUUCCAGAAAGGACACUGGGCUUGGUCUGGGUGUUCUCCUAGGAACUGGCCGUGAGCCACAGCCUUCCCCAGCUCCAUGGUUCCAGUUUGUUCUUCCUCUUCUGUGCUCAAUCAUGGACGUAGACAAGCCUCAUUGCAGGGAAACCCCUGCAGAAAUGCAUGUAUGUGUGUGAGUCCCAGCAGUGGUGAAGGCCUCCUGCCGGCCUCGUGCCCCUUGGAAACCCUUGCCGAGACCUCAGUACUGUUUACAUGGCCAAGGGGACGGGGCUUGGCCCAGCUGGCCAGAGACCGACAUUCUCACCCUCAGAGACGUACACAGUAAGUCAACAUUUUAGCUUCCUCGUUUGAAACAAAAGACAGGUGUUCAAUUUAAAAAGGGGUUUGCUAACGUUUUCUUUAGCAGUUGAAACUCCUAAGCACAAUCUUACGUAGAGGGCCACUGGAGAAAAUCAGGGCCCAGGGAGGCUGCUCUGGUUGCGUUGCGGGGAUCCUACAGCCCACGGCUCCCCCUGAGAUUGAGACGCCUCCUGUGAAGCCCAAGGCCUUUUGGGAACACAAUUUGAGAACCCCUGGACCAGAUGCCUUCGAGAAGCUUUUCCAGAUCUUCCAUUAAUGUUCUACCCUUGCGUUGGCUUCAAAACAACACAGCCCCGUGGAUAAAAUGCUUAUGAAGAUGCUUUUUACACAAAUGGAGGAACUUAAGUCCUGGCGGGUGAAACGGCAGAGCCAAGGAUUGUUCUGAUUCCUGUGGUCCCUGCAGGGCCACAAAACUGACAAAACCUUGGUCUAAUGGGUGAAGACUCAGCUCUGCUCGUCCAUAUACUGGUGGGUGUAGGUUAAUAAAGCGGUCGUUUGAGAACAUC
Aethalodelphis obliquidens (Pacific white-sided dolphin) is the source of this 2928-nucleotide long non-coding RNA. RefSeq lists it as uncharacterized. NCBI's taxonomy places the organism in Eukaryota, Metazoa, Chordata, Mammalia, Artiodactyla, Delphinidae. The transcript is spliced from 2 exons. The record is from RefSeq and is a predicted model, not a curated record.